GACGAACGCUGGCGGCGUGCUUAACACAUGCAAGUCGAACGGAAAGGCCCUGCUUUUGUGGGGUGCUCGAGUGGCGAACGGGUGAGUAACACGUGAGUAACCUGCCCUUGACUUUGGGAUAACUUCAGGAAACUGGGGCUAAUACCGGAUAGGAGCUCCUGCUGCAUGGUGGGGGUUGGAAAGUUUCGGCGGUUGGGGAUGGACUCGCGGCUUAUCAGCUUGUUGGUGGGGUAGUGGCUUACCAAGGCUUUGACGGGUAGCCGGCCUGAGAGGGUGACCGGCCACAUUGGGACUGAGAUACGGCCCAGACUCCUACGGGAGGAAGCAGGGGGGAAAAUUGAAAAAUGGGCGGAAGCCUGAGGCAGCAACGCCGCGUGCGGGAUGACGGCCUUCGGGUUGUAAACCGCUUUCGCCUGUGACGAAGCGUGAGUGACGGUAAUGGGUAAAGAAGCACCGGCUAACUACGUG
Molecule: ribosomal RNA, 468 nt
Filed under: uncultured bacterium
Lineage: Bacteria
Description: partial 16S ribosomal RNA
Rfam family: Bacterial small subunit ribosomal RNA
Source: RNAcentral